This is a non-coding RNA of Taeniopygia guttata (zebra finch), 484 nucleotides long. NCBI's taxonomy places the organism in Eukaryota, Metazoa, Chordata, Aves, Passeriformes, Estrildidae. The record is from RefSeq and is a predicted model, not a curated record.
CGAGCUGGGUGGGGGAGGGGAGAAGCCAUGUGGCCUUCGGAGGAAUAUUCAACCCAAUCUUGAAUUACCAGCAAAUGUUCCUGGAAAGAAAUUGGGGAAUUUGCACCUGCAGCACAAUCCUGAGAGUGGGAGUUACGCUCAGCCUGGGAAAAGCAUCAGAGUGCCAGCCUGUCACCAGGAGCUCGGAUCAAAAACUCCAUUGUUGCUGCUGACAGGAAUAUCAAAUUAGCAACCAGAAAGGCAUGAGCAAGGAUUGCUCAACACGCAACAAUUAAUAUGUAUCCAAUGACAGUUUACAAAUUAAAAAGCAAGCUAGCCAAAAGUACCUCACACACUAUUUGGAACUUGUUUCAAUCAUUUAUUCAGCUCUGACAAAGUUUAAGACUCUGUUAAUGAACAGUGAUACAUUCCAUAUAUGCCAUGGCUGUCAUUUUCCAAGUGUUCUUUCUGCUAAGAAAACAAUAAAUAAACAUACUAAGCCCAA